Molecule: non-coding RNA, 128 nt
Organism: Aegilops tauschii subsp. strangulata
Lineage: Eukaryota; Viridiplantae; Streptophyta; Magnoliopsida; Poales; Poaceae
Source: RefSeq, a predicted model, not a curated record
UUUGCCUCUCCAGAUCUUAAAAGCCCCAUAACUUUUUUUCUGUUAGGUUUUUGAGGAUUUUGAAAAUGUUUAACGGGGUUCCCCCUGUUAAAAUCGGAUGUAACUUUCCGAGUAGAUGAUUUUUCAUA